UCGAACGCCCACUUCGGUGGGAGUGGCAGACGGGUGAGGAACACGUGGAACCUACCUAGAGGUACGGAAUAACUUCGGGAAACCGGAACUAAUACCGUAUACGCCCUCCGGGGGAAAGAUUUAUCGCCUUUAGAUGGGCCCGCGUCUGAUUAGCUUGUUGGUGAGGUAAUGGCUCACCAAGGCGACGAUCAGUAGCUGGUUUGAGAGGAUGAUCAGCCACACUGGGACUGAGACACGGCCCAGACUCCUACGGGAGGCAGCAGUGGGGAAUAUUGGACAAUGGGCGCAAGCCUGAUCCAGCCAUGCCGCGUGAGUGACGAAGGCCUUAGGGUUGUAAAACUCUUUCAGCAGGGAAGAUAAUGACGGUACCUGCAGAAGAAACCCCGGCUAACUCCGUGCCAGCAGCCGCGGUAAUACGGAGGGGGUUAGCGUUGUUCGGAAUUACUGGGCGUAAAGCGUACGUAGGCGGAUCAGAAAGUAUGGGGUGCAAUCCCAGGGCUCAACCCUGGAACUGCCUCAUAAACUCCUGGUCUUGAGUUCGAGAGAGGUGAGUGGAACUCCGAGUGUAGAGGUGAAAUUCGUAGAUAUUCGGAAGAACACCAGUGGCGAAGGCGGC
RNAcentral lists this ribosomal RNA (616 nucleotides) under uncultured bacterium. RNAcentral's name for it is "bacterial SSU rRNA". It matches the Rfam family "Bacterial small subunit ribosomal RNA", at positions 62 to 725 of the family's 1533-position model. The record is from RNAcentral.